Molecule: transfer RNA, 71 nt
Filed under: Sus scrofa (pig)
Lineage: Eukaryota; Metazoa; Chordata; Mammalia; Artiodactyla; Suidae
Rfam family: tRNA
About the family: Transfer RNA (tRNA) molecules are approximately 80 nucleotides in length. Their secondary structure includes four short double-helical elements and three loops (D, anti-codon, and T loops).
Source: Rfam by way of RNAcentral
UCCCUGGUGGUCUAGUGUUAGGAUUCAGCAUUUUUACUGCUGUGGCCUGGAUUCAAGCCUUGGUCUGGGAA